CAUUAUUGACCAGAGAGAGGGAGGAGGACAUUAUUGACCAGAGAGAGGGAGGAGGACAUUAUUGACCAGAGAGAGGGAGGAGGAGAAAGAUACUAUUACAACUAAUUGAGGACAUGAGUGGGGAAGAAAUAGACAUUAUGGAAAUGACAGAGAGAGAAAGUAAAGGAGGAAUAAAAAGAGAGGGUUUAGAUGAAGAAAAAAGUAAGAGAUAAAACUAGAAAGAGAGAGAACAAGUGGUUUAUGACAGCAGAAUGCGUGAUGAUGAGGAGAUCCGAAAGAUAGGAGGAAUGAAAAUGGAGGAAGAGGAAGCGAGGAGAAAGGAAGGGGAGAGAUCUGGCACUAUCAGCAGGUAUAAAAAAAAUGACAGCGGUAGUUUGUGACAAAUACCAGUGUCAAACACAUGCUCAGAAACCAUGACUGGUUUAAUGACACAUGGGAGAGAGAGAGAGAGAGAGAGAGAGAGAGAGAGAGAGAGAGAGAGAGAGAGAGAGAGAAAGCAAUGGAGCAUUACAGAGAUAUUGAAUGGGUUGAACAGAUGGAGAUAAUAAAGAGAGAGAUGCUGAAAAACAAAGCAAGUACAUUAGAUUGACAGAGAGUGAGAGAAUAAGACUGCCAGUCACAGGUCAAACAGAGGUUUAUCCUCUCUUUCAACCCUGCAUCCCUCCAUCUUCCAGAUCUCUGGCUGUGCCAAGCCAACAAGGUCAUCGAUUAUUGGACAACUCCCUGUCUGAAAACGUCCACUUCCUUCUAGAGCUGCCUUCAACACUCCAGUCUAGUCAGACAACAUUCUAAUAACAUUCUGAGAACAUUCCAACAACAUUCUAAACAUUCCGAAAACAUUCUAAUAACAUUCUAAACAUUCCGAAAACAUUCUAAUAAAAUUCUGAGAAUAUUACCAAGGAUAGCUGGUGAAGGAAUCGGCAAAAGCAUCAAAACAUCUCAACUUUGGGAGAACCGUCAAAUAAAAUAAACUGUUAUUAGUUUGGGUACACAUAUUUGCAGAUGUUAUCAUAGGUGCGGUGAAAUGUUUGUGUCUCUAGCUCCAACAUUGCAAUUAUACCUAGCAAUAAAAUAUAAUAAAAUAUACUGUACACACAAUCCAGAAAAAUAAAGAAAAUGAGAAAUAUCAGAACAUACAAUGACAAAUCAAAUCAGAUUUCAAAUCAAAUCAAAUGUAUUUAUAUAGCCCUUCUUACAUCAGCUGAUAUCUCAAAGUGCUGUACAGAAACCCAGCCUAAAACCCCAAACAGCGAGCAAUGCAGGUGUGGAAGCACUGUGGCUAGGAAAAACUCCCUAGAAAGGCCAAAACCUAGGAAGAAACCUAGAGAGGAACCAGGCUAUGAGGGGUGGCCAGUCCUCUUCUGGCUGUGCCGGGUGUCGAUUAUAACAGAACAUGGCCAAGAUGUUCAAUGUUCAUAAAUGACCAGCAUGGUCAAAUAAUAAUAAUCACAGUGGUUGUCGAGGGUGCAACAAGUCAGCACCUCAAGAGUAAAUGUC
RNAcentral lists this long non-coding RNA (1497 nucleotides) under Salmo salar (Atlantic salmon). RNAcentral's name for it is "lncRNA (ENSSSAG00000109440.1)". The record is from RNAcentral. Lineage: Eukaryota; Metazoa; Chordata; Actinopteri; Salmoniformes; Salmonidae.